Molecule: ribosomal RNA, 584 nt
Filed under: Hanseniaspora uvarum
Lineage: Eukaryota; Fungi; Ascomycota; Saccharomycetes; Saccharomycodales; Saccharomycodaceae
Description: eukaryotic LSU rRNA
Rfam family: Eukaryotic large subunit ribosomal RNA
Source: RNAcentral
AGUUCUGAACUUACUACGGCGAGUGAAGCGGUAAAAGCUCAAAUUUGAAAUCUGGUACUUUCAGUGCCCGAGUUGUAAUUUGUAGAAUUUGUCUUUGAUUAGGUCCUUGUCUAUGUUCCUUGGAACAGGACGUCAUAGAGGGUGAGAAUCCCGUUUGGCGAGGAUACCUUUUCUCUGUAAGACUUUUUCGAAGAGUCGAGUUGUUUGGGAAUGCAGCUCAAAGUGGGUGGUAAAUUCCAUCUAAAGCUAAAUAUUGGCGAGAGACCGAUAGCGAACAAGUACAGUGAUGGAAAGAUGAAAAGAACUUUGAAAAGAGAGUGAAAAAGUACGUGAAAUUGUUGAAAGGGAAGGGCAUUUGAUCAGACAUGGUGUUUUUUGCAUGCACUCGCCUCUCGUGGGCUUGGGCCUCUCAAAAAUUUCACUGGGCCAACAUCAAUUUUGGCAGCAGGAUAAAUCAUUAAGAAUGUAGCUACUUCGGUAGUGUUAUAGCUUUUUGGAAUACUGUUAGCCGGGAUUGAGGACUGCGCUUCGGCAAGGAUGUUGGCAUAAUGGUUAAAUGCCGCCCGUCUUGAAACCCGGAACAA